AUUUAGGAAAUACUAUCAGAAAGUCCUUCAAAAGACCAAAGGGCAACCGAUGGCUCAAGGGUUUGUUGCUUCACCAGCCUUGAAAAGGACGGCUAGUCCGAAAUCCUCUCCACCUGGAGGCAACCUUCAGCGCCUUCUCUGUCAUGCGGAGACCAGACUUGCUGGAAUCGAAUACAUAACCACCAGGAUGAUAGCAGACACCCUUGGUUCCCCUUAAGAGAUGCAUCCUUGACACAGAACUGAGCUCUUGUCUGCCUGAUUCCCAGGAAUGAUUUUGCACUGGCUCUUCAUAUACUUUUCAUACUUUGGAAAACUUUCGGUGUGUUUAGCUACUGCUGUGGAACAAACCAACUACAUUUCAGUGAGUUAAUGUCAAAAGCGUGUAUCUUUGCUCAUGGGUCUCUAGGUCAGCAGGACAGUUCUUCUGGGCUCAGCUGGGCUCAGGCACGCAUUCCUGUGGUCAGCUGUCAGUAGGGAAGAGUUGGUUCUGCAGAUCGUGGCUGGAUUCUCUCACAUGGUUCAGAAUCAGCUGGUUGCCGGCAGGUUGAGGAUGGCCUCAGCAAGGAUAGCUGGGACCUCUUCCACAUGAUCUUCCGGUCCAUCUGCUGAGCUGGGUUUGUUCACAUGGCAGGCGCAGAGUUCCGAGAGAGACAAUGGAAGCACACGGGGCCACUGAAGUCUAGUGGGGUCUGGCACAUCAUUAUUUUCACCGCAUUCUAUCGGCCAAAAUAAGUCACAAGGUCAGCCUGACAGGCAAAAUAGAUUACACCACUUGAAGGGGAGAGCUUCACAGAGCCUCUGAGGGAGGGGUAGAGUACUGAGAACGCUUUUAAAAUUAAAUUAACGCACCCGCCCACGUGGAAAAGCUAGCCCACCCCUCUUGCUUUGACAAGGAAAAUUUUCUUAAAUCUAGACUCUGGCUUUGAGCCCUGGAUUUGGUUCAAUGCCUUUCACAAUCCAGAUGUAAAUCUUUGAAAACAUGGUCCAUCAUUUAAUUCUUGCUGUUCAGAUCUUCUCUCAAAUGUAGAAGUGGAUCAGCUGGCCCCAAAUAGAGAAAAUAAUAAAUUUUAAAACUCUGUUAUGUGGAUUCUAAUGCUUCCGUUCAUCAGAAUACACCUUUCCUUCUGCAGUGUUUUUUACUUAAAAUAGAUUAGGAAACAAAAACUCACAAACCAAACCUCUGGUUCUUCUUCAAAUUAGCCCAGAAGUAGAAUUCUCGCUUGAUUUCAACAAGCUUUCUACUAGUAUUACUGAUUACUAUUAUCGUUAUUAGUUCUUUGCUCUGUGGUCUAUUCUAGAUGAGAAAGUUUCAUUACCUCAUGUAUACUGGUAACUAAGUUGCUUCAAUUAAUAAAGCAAGGAAGUUUUGCAAGAAAAAUUAUGGAUGGUUUCUUCCCCCUUCAGAGCCAAGAAAGGUUAUUUAGCACCUAGAAUCUCUACUCUCUGGAAUUCAGCAAUUUCUUCAUGUUUCGGAAUGAAAUUAUCAUUUUUCUUUUUGAAUCAGAGUGAAUUUUCUCCUCCAAGACCUCAGGAGAACACUUUUCAUUUGAUAUUUCAGGAUGUCUUCUCCAAGGACAACAGCCUGCCUCUGGCGGCCACCAGUUUCCUAGCCUCCACAGGCAUUCUAACUCUCAGUGUAAUUUUUCACAUGAACAGUUUCUAAAGGAGUAAACAACUUUACAUAACUCUUGCACAUUCAUUUCUCCAGAAAUUUGCCAUUUGUCUCUCAGGAGAAACUCUGCUGCUUUCACUGAGGCCCCAUGUAGGCUGCAGAGCAAGGAAUUUUUAUGUAAAAAUGAGAGAAGACUGUCCUAAGGGACGUGCAAAUGGUUCAUAAAACCUUUCUUUGUCCUCUCCCCUUUCCAUGUUUACUUUAAAUACUUUUAGUUAGUAAAGUCUUAUUUUCAAAUAUUUAUGCAAAAAAAACUGCUGGAAAAGACUGAGUUUAAUUACAAUGCAUUCUUGUUAAUAGUUUGUAAAGGGCCACUGGCCCUUCUGAGCUUUUCUUUCAUGGUUGAUUAAUGGAUACACUAGAUGGAAAGAUUCAGUUGACCAAAGGGGAUAUUUUCGAUAAAGGCUUUUAAUCUUACAAACCUCACUUCUGAAUUUCCCUUAAGGGGUAAAGGGGCUCUGGCUCUUAUAUGAGGCAAUAAUCCUUUACCAUGGUGGCUAAACAAUAAAAAACAGGUAGGGCCGGCGUGGUGGCUUAGUGGCUAAAUUCUUGUGCUCUGUUCAGCGACCUGGGGUUCGCUGGUUCGGAUCCUGGGCGCGGACCUAAGCACUGCUUGUCAAGCCACGCUGUGGCAGGCGUCCCACAUAUAAAGUAGAGGAAGAUGGGCACAAAUGUUAGCUCAGGGCCAGUCUUCCUCAGCAAAAAGAGGAGGAUUGGAAGCGGAUGUUAACUCAGGGUUAGUCUUCCUCAAAAAAAAAAAAAAAGGUAAAAAUAGAAACAAGAAACAACAACUGUAAUAUUCAUGUUAGCGUUCCUUGCUCCUCCCCCAUGACCUCAUUCUCCGAAACCUUAAUUUCUCAAGAGAUAAAGCGCUGAAGUUAAUCUAGCCAAAGGCACACAGAUUCAUCAGUGUAGCUUCUGCCUUGAAUGCCUGCUUGCUUUUCUAUCCCAGAGAAGCGAGUCUGAGCUCCACCUCUCUUUGUCGAGCCACCACCUAGAAGUCCUCCUAGCACGUUGCCUCCACUGGGCCUGACCUACCGCUCUGUUAAGUCUCUUUCUCAUCAUAAUUGCAGCUAAGCUUUUUGAGCUCUUACUGCAUGCCAGGGAGAAGAGUUGAACUGGAUCUCCAAGUGUGUGACUACUUGACGGCUUUUGCUUUAGAGUGAGAUGCUGAGAAACCAGUUCCAAGUGGAGGGCAACCACUCCCUCACAACUGCCUUAUUUCUGCCAAACAGGUCUUUUGAUUUCUUUCAGGAAGGACUGCUUAUUGUUAG
RNAcentral lists this long non-coding RNA (2946 nucleotides) under Equus caballus (horse). RNAcentral describes it as "lncRNA (ENSECAG00000049284.1)". Lineage: Eukaryota; Metazoa; Chordata; Mammalia; Perissodactyla; Equidae. The record is from RNAcentral.